GUCCACGCCGUAAACGAUGGGCACUAGGUGUUCGGGUAUUGACCCCUGAGUGCCGCAGCUAACGCAUUAAGUGCCCCGCCUGGGGACUACGGCCGCAAGGUUAAACUCAAAGGAAUUGACGGGGCCCGCACAAGCGGUGGAGCAUGUGGUUCAAUUCGACGCAACGCGAAGAACCUUACCUGGGCUAGACAACAUCGGACAGCUCUAGAAUAGGGUCUUCCCGCAAGGGACCGGUGGUUCAGGUGCUGCAUGGCUGUCGU
RNAcentral lists this ribosomal RNA (260 nucleotides) under uncultured bacterium. RNAcentral's name for it is "partial 16S ribosomal RNA". It matches the Rfam family "Bacterial small subunit ribosomal RNA", at positions 793 to 1055 of the family's 1533-position model. The record is from RNAcentral.